RNAcentral lists this ribosomal RNA (264 nucleotides) under uncultured archaeon. Its description in RNAcentral is "partial 16S ribosomal RNA". It matches the Rfam family "Archaeal small subunit ribosomal RNA", at positions 719 to 982 of the family's 1478-position model. The record is from RNAcentral.
ACAGUCACACAUUAGAUACCCGGGUAGUCCAGGGUGUAAACGCUGCGGGCUUGGUGUUGGGGGUCCUUUGAGGGCGCCCAGUGCCGGAGAGAAGUUGUUAAGCCUGCUGCUUGGGGAGUACGUCCGCAAGGAUGAAACUUAAAGGAAUUGGCGGGGAGCACCGCAACGGGAGGAGCGUGCGGUUCAAUUGGAUUCAACGCCGGACAACUCACCAGGAGCGACGGUUACAUGAAGGCCAGGCUGAUGACCUUGCCUGAUUUUCCG